Molecule: ribosomal RNA, 253 nt
Filed under: uncultured bacterium
Lineage: Bacteria
Description: partial 16S ribosomal RNA
Rfam family: Bacterial small subunit ribosomal RNA
Source: RNAcentral
AACGUAGGAGGCGAGCGUUAUCCGGAGUUACUGGGAGUAAAGCGCGCGCAGGCGGUGGUGUAAGUGGGGUGUGAAAUCUCUCGGCUAAACCGGGAGGGUGCGCCUCAGACUGCACGACUAGAGUGGGAUAGAGGGACGUGGAAUUCCGGGUGGAGCGGUGAAAUGUGUAGAGAUCCGGAGGAACACCAGAGGCGCAAGCGGCGUCCUGGGUCCUAACUGACGCUGAGGCGCGAAAGCUUGGGGAGCGAACGGG